Molecule: ribosomal RNA, 2619 nt
Filed under: Paris polyphylla var. yunnanensis
Lineage: Eukaryota; Viridiplantae; Streptophyta; Magnoliopsida; Liliales; Melanthiaceae
Description: bacterial LSU rRNA
Rfam family: Bacterial large subunit ribosomal RNA
Source: RNAcentral
UAGCUGAAUAAAAUAGGCUUCGUGAAGCGAACCCGGCGAACUGAAACAUCUCAGUACCCGGAGGAAAAGACAUCAACCGAGAUUCCGUUAGUAGUGGCGAGCGAACGCGGACCAGGCCAGUGCCUGAUAUUCAACUAGCAGAACGCUUUGGAAAGAGCGGCCUUAGCGGGUGACAGCCCCGUAUGCGAAAGUGAUGUAUCAGGACUUGAGUAGGGCGGGACACGUGUAAUCCUGUCUGAACAUGGGGGGACCACCCUCCAAGCCUAAGUACUCCUCAGCGACCGAUAGUGAACCAGUACCGUGAGGGAAAGGUGAAAAGCACCCCGACGAGGGGAGUGAAAUAGACCUGAAACCGGACACCUACAAACAGACGGAGCCCAAGAUACGUUCUGGGUGACAUCGUACCUUUUGUAUUAUGGGCCAGCGACUUAAUUUAACGAGCAAGCUUAAGCCGAUAGGCGUAGGCGUAGCGAAAGCGAGUCUGAAUAGGGCGUCAAGUUCGUUGUAUUAGACCCGAAACCUAGUGAUCUAGCCAUGAGCAGGUUGAAGGUGAGGUAACACUCACUGGAGGACCGAACGGGUGCCUGUUGAAAAAGGCUCCGAUGACUUGUGGUUAGGGGUGAAAGGCCAAUCAAACUCGGAAAUAGCUGGUUCUCCGCGAAAGAUAUUUAGGUAUCGCCUCGGAUGAAUACCUCAGGGGGUAGAGCACUGGAUGGGCUAGGGGGACUUACCGUCUUACCAAACCCAACCAAACUCCGAAUACCUGAGAGUACUAUCCGGGAGUCACACAGCGGGUGCUAACGUCCGUUGUGGAGAGGGAAACAACCCGGACCUACAGCUAAGGCCCCUAAUUCGUGGCUAAGUGGGAAAGGAUGUGGAAAUCCCAAAACAACCAGGAGGUUGGCUUAGAAGCAGCCAUCCUUUAAAGAAAGCGUAACAGCUCACUGGUCUAAAUAAGGGUUUCUGCGCCGAAGAUGUAACGGGGCUCAAGCCACGAGCCGAAGCUUAGGGUGUAGUCCGCAAGGGCUACGCGGUAGCGGAGCGUUCUGUAAGCCUGCGAAGGGCGACCCGUGAGGGCGCCUGGAGGUAUCAGAAGUGCGAAUGCUGGCAUGAGUAACGACAAACACUGUGAAAGACAGUGUCGCCGAAAGUCCAAGGGUUCCUGCGUAAAGUUAAUCUUCGCAGGGUUAGCCGGUCCCUAAGGCGAGGCCGAAAGGCGUAGUCGAUGGGAAUGCAGUGAAUAUUCUGCAGCCAGUGGAUGGUGACGAAUCCCGUGUGUUGUCCGACCUUACUGGAUUGGUCGGGCCUCGAAGGGGUUCCAGGAAAUAGCCUCCACAUUAGACCGUACCCGAAACCGACACAGGUGGACUGGUAGAGUAUACCAAGGCGCUUGAGAGAACUAUGUUGAAGGAACUCGGCAAUUUACCUCCGUAACUUCGGGAUAAGGGGGCCCAUUGCGUGCGCAAGCACGUCGUGGGGGCACAGACCAGGGGGUGGCAACUGUUUAACAAAAACACAGGGCUCUGCGAAAUCGCAAGAUGACGUAUAGGGUCUGACGCCUGCCCGGUGCCGGAAGGUUAAGAGGAGAGGUGCAAGCCUUGAAUUGAAGCCCCGGUAAACGGCGGCCGUAACGAUAACGGUCCUAAGGUAGCGAAAUUCCUUGUCGGGUAAGUUCCGACCUGCACGAAUGGUGUAACGACAGCGGCGCUGUCUCCACCCGAGACUCAGUGAAAUUGAAAUCGCUGUGAAGAUGCAGUGUAUCCGCGGCUAGACGGAAAGACCCCGUGAACCUUUACUAUAGCUUUACAUUGAACGUUGAGUUCUUCUGUGUAGGAUAGGUGGGAGGCUUUGAAGUGCAGGCGCUAGCUUGCAUGGAGCCAUCCUUGAAAUACCACCCUGAAGUGCUUGACGUUCUAACCUAGGUCCGUAAUCCGGAUCGGGGACCGUGUAUGGUGGGUAGUUUGACUGGGGCGGUCUCCUCCCAAAGAGUAACGGAGGAGCACGAAGGUACGCUCAGCGCGGUCGGACAUCGCGCACUGUGUGCAAAGGCAUAAGCGUGCUUGACUGCGAGAUCGACGGAUCAAGCAGGUACGAAAGUAGGUCUUAGUGAUCCGGUGGUUCUGUAUGGAAGGGCCAUCGCUCAACGGAUAAAAGGUACUCUGGGGAUAACAGGCUGAUUCCUCCCAAGAGUUCAUAUCGACGGGGGAGUUUGGCACCUCGAUGUCGGCUCAUCACAUCCUGGGGCUGUAGCCGGUCCCAAGGGUAUGGCUGUUCGCCAUUUAAAGUGGUACGUGAGCUGGGUUUAAAACGUCGUGAGACAGUUUGGUCCCUAUCUGCCGUGGGCGUUGGAAAUUUGAAGGGGGCUGCUCCUAGUACGAGAGGACCGGAGUGGACGAACCUCUGGUGUACCGGUUGUCACGCCAGUGGCAUUGCCGGGUAGCUAAGUUCGGAAGAGAUAACCGCUGAAAGCAUCUAAGCGGGAAACUUGCCUUAAGAUGAGAUUUCCCGGAGCCUUGAGCUCCUUGAAGGGUCGUUCGAGACCAGGACGUUGAUAGGUCGGGUGUGGAAGUGCAGUAAUGCAUUAAGCUAACUGAUACUAAUUGCCCGUGAGGCUUGACC